GGCAAGGUGGCCGAGCGGUCUGAGGCGCCAGCUUCAGGUUCUCCUGAAUUAUUAUCCUCGGUGUAUCUGCUGGUCUCGCAAGAGGCGUGGGUUCGAAUCCCACCCUUGUCA
This is a non-coding RNA of Cercophora scortea, 111 nucleotides long. The record is from the annotation of a GenBank genome assembly. NCBI's taxonomy places the organism in Eukaryota, Fungi, Ascomycota, Sordariomycetes, Sordariales, Lasiosphaeriaceae.